Molecule: long non-coding RNA, 534 nt
Filed under: Phoenix dactylifera (date palm)
Lineage: Eukaryota; Viridiplantae; Streptophyta; Magnoliopsida; Arecales; Arecaceae
Description: long non-coding RNA (PDAC_LNC014760)
Source: RNAcentral
AAAUAAUAAUAAUAUUAAGCAACCAAAACCUGGUCCGAGUCAAUCCGACCGGGUCCCAUUUCCUGAACUCGUUGUCCGGUCCGGCUUGUGCAUGCUCUCAUAAUCUUAUUUUCAAGAAUUUCUUAUUAUUGUUGCACAUUUGUUCCCAAAAAAGAUCAAGAUAAAAUAGAGUGAUCUCGAUCGUGAUGAAAACCUUAUAUAUCUAGUGGUUUGUUCUUCUCUUCUAACUGUAAAGUCUUUGUCUUAGCUCCCAUCGACUGCCAUAGUGUCACCUUUUGAGGUUAUAGGCCUGAAGUUAUGAGAACACUUCGACGCCAAAUCCUAGUACCAAUAAGAGCAACGUUAUGCUUACGUACGUGGAGUCACUUGGACGAAUGGCCUUGCAUGAUGACAAUGGCCGUGCAAUAGUUGCCGGUGGGAAAAAAAGCUACUAAGGGCGUGACAAGGUUAAACAAGUGUUUUGCUAUCCUCCUUGGCCCUUCUCUACUCUGAAAAGAGAUGUUAUGUCCAUACAAUCUAAAUGAAAAAUUUGGU